RNAcentral lists this ribosomal RNA (1440 nucleotides) under uncultured organism. RNAcentral describes it as "16S ribosomal RNA". It matches the Rfam family "Bacterial small subunit ribosomal RNA". The record is from RNAcentral.
AACGCUGGCGGCGUGCUUAACACAUGCAAGUCGAACGGAAAGGCCCUGCUUUUGUGGGGUGCUCGAGUGGCGAACGGGUGAGUAACACGUGAGUAACCUGCCCUUGACUUUGGGAUAACUUCAGGAAACUGGGGCUAAUACCGGAUAGGAGCUCCUGCUGCAUGGUGGGGGUUGGAAAGUUUCGGCGGUUGGGGAUGGACUCGCGGCUUAUCAGCUUGUUGGUGGGGUAGUGGCUUACCAAGGCUUUGACGGGUAGCCGGCCUGAGAGGGUGACCGGCCACAUUGGGACUGAGAUACGGCCCAGACUCCUACGGGAGGCAGCAGUGGGGAAUAUUGCACAAUGGGCGGAAGCCUGAUGCAGCAACGCCGCGUGCGGGAUGACGGCCUUCGGGUUGUAAACCGCUUUCGCCUGUGACGAAGCGUGAGUGACGGUAAUGGGUAAAGAAGCACCGGCUAACUACGUGCCAGCAGCCGCGGUGAUACGUAGGGUGCGAGCGUUGUCCGGAUUUAUUGGGCGUAAAGGGCUCGUAGGUGGUUGAUCGCGUCGGAAGUGUAAUCUUGGGGCUUAACCCUGAGCGUGCUUUCGAUACGGGUUGACUUGAGGAAGGUAGGGGAGAAUGGAAUUCCUGGUGGAGCGGUGGAAUGCGCAGAUAUCAGGAGGAACACCAGUGGCGAAGGCGGUUCUCUGGGCCUUUCCUGACGCUGAGGAGCGAAAGCGUGGGGAGCGAACAGGCUUAGAUACCCUGGUAGUCCACGCUGUAAACGGUGGGUACUAGGUGUGGGGUCCAUUCCACGGGUUCCGUGCCGUAGCUAACGCUUUAAGUACCCCGCCUGGGGAGUACGGCCGCAAGGCUAAAACUCAAAGGAAUUGACGGGGCCCCGCACAAGCGGCGGAGCAUGCGGAUUAAUUCGAUGCAACGCGUAGAACCUUACCUGGGUUUGACAUGGAUCGGGAGUGCUCAGAGAUGGGUGUGCCUCUUUUGGGGUCGGUUCACAGGUGGUGCAUGCCUGUCGUCAGCUCGUGUCGCGAGAUGUUGGGUUAAGUCCCGCAACGAGCGCAACCCUUGUUCACUGUUGCCAGCACGUUAUGGUGGGGACUCAGUGGAGACCGCCGGGGUCAACUCGGAGGAAGGUGGGGAUGACGUCAAGUCCUCAUGCCCCUUAUGUCCAGGGCUUCACGCAUGCUACAAUGGCUGGUACAGAGAGUGGCGAGCCUGUGAGGGUGAGCGAAUCUCGGAAAGCCGGUCUCAGUUCGGAUUGGGGUCUGCAACUCGACCUCAUGAAGUCGGAGUCGCUAGUAAUCGCAGAUCAGCAACGCUGCGGUGAAUACGUUCCCGGGGCUUGUACACACCGCCCGUCAAGUCAUGAAAGUUGGUAACACCCGAAGCCGGUGGCCUAACCGUUGUGGGGGAGCCGUCGAAGGUGGGACUGGUGAUUAGG